CUGAUUUCUGCAAGGAAAAACAAACUCAGUCAGAAAUCUUGAUAAUGCAGCAGAAUUGUUAGUUCAAUGUAAGAUUAUCUCUCAACCAAAACAAAAUUAUUUAAUAACUUUAUGAACGCAUAUGCAACAUAUUUUACUUCAGUAUGACAUUUUAAAAUCUGAAAUCAUUUUUUAUAUAUAAUUUUUACUCCAAAGGUUGUUUUUUAACACAAAGCUGCUUGUUGUUGCCUGAAAAUGAUGGUGAUUAUUUGUCUGCUCUAAUUAGGUUCUAUAAAAAAAGUUGCUUGUCUGCCACCUAGUGUACAGAAAACGCCACUACCUUUCAGAUUUUGAUUGGGGCAGCAAGUGAAUGUAAUGACACAGAAUAACUCGAUUUUUUAUGUGCAAAUUCCUAACAUUGAUUUAUUUUUUGAAGAACCACUGCUGCUACAGAGCAGAUGCUACAGGAAAUGACAUCAGUCAUAGUUCGUCACAACCGUUACCUCAUCAAACAUUUUAGAUGUAAAGCUCGUCACAGCAGCCUCAGAGCUGAGAAUGGUUGACUUUGACACAAAAGCAACAAAAAAACUUGUUAAAACGCGUCGACAAAACAACUAACGACUACUUAAAGGUGCACAGCAUGAAUUAGCAUGAACACAGCAGCUUCAGCUCGAGGCCAGACUCCAGCACAGCACAUCACGACGAUCACUACAAUCAGCACAGAUGCAGCGGCGCAGAGGAACGCGAUGUUAAAUACAGGGCGUGUUAUCCUGCUGGAAGGAGCUAUCA
Molecule: non-coding RNA, 768 nt
Organism: Danio rerio (zebrafish)
Lineage: Eukaryota; Metazoa; Chordata; Actinopteri; Cypriniformes; Danionidae
Source: RefSeq, a predicted model, not a curated record